UCCAGAGGCAAGCACAAUAUUCCAGAGGAACUCUCAAACAGAUGUUGUAGAAAUAAGAAGAAGCAACUGUACAAACCAUGUAUCUACUGUGCGUUUCAGUCAACAAUACAGCUUGUGUUCGACAAUAUUCCUUGAUGACAGCACAGCCAUCAGCAUUAUCUUACAAUGACAAUAAUAUCUGUGACCUUGGAGAUACCUCAUCAUAUCACACAAAGAGAUGCAGAUAGAUCUUUGAAGCAUGCCCUGUUUAAUGGGGAUGGCUCUGCCGCUCCCGAUGGUGUCAGCAUGAUUCUCCGGGGCUUUCCUCUCUUUGUCUGGGUCACUCCCUUUCUCAGAUGUAAACAGGUUGGACCAGCGCAUGGACCGCUUGCAAACGGGGGUGGGUGUGUUGGCAGUGGGAGGAACACUGAACUGAGGGUCCUCCUGGCUGGUGCUGGGAGUCGAUGGAAUGGAGGAGGAAUAGUUAUUUAAACUCCCACCUCCAUUUCUUUUCUUCAUAAUGUGCACGGUGGAAAC
This 516-nucleotide long non-coding RNA is filed under the name Homo sapiens (human). RNAcentral's name for it is "HSALNT0162170". Lineage: Eukaryota; Metazoa; Chordata; Mammalia; Primates; Hominidae. The record is from RNAcentral.